CCUACGGGAGGCAGCAGUGAGGAAUAUUGGUCAAUGGGAGAGAUCCUGAACCAGCCAAGCCGCGUGAGGGAAGACGGCCCUAUGGGUUGUAAACCUCUUUUGUCGGAGAACAAAGGCGGAGAUGCGUCUCCGGAUGAGUGUACCCGAAGAAAAAGCAUCGGCUAACUCCGUGCCAGCAGCCGCGGCAAUAUGGAGGAUGCGAGCGUUAUCCGGUUUUAUUGGGUUUAAAGGGUGCGCAGGCGGGAGAUCAAGUCAGCGGUAAAAUGUCUGGGCUCAACCCCGGCCGGCAGUUGAAACUGGUUAUCUAGAGUUGGAGAGAGGUAUGCGGAAUUCGUGGUGUAGCGGUGAAAUGCAUAGAUAUCACGAGGAACUCCGGUUGCGAAGGCAGCAUACCGGCUCCAUACUGACGCUGAGGCACGAAAGCGUGGGGAUCGAACAGGAUUAGAUACCCUUGUAGUC
Molecule: ribosomal RNA, 459 nt
Filed under: uncultured bacterium
Lineage: Bacteria
Description: partial 16S ribosomal RNA
Rfam family: Bacterial small subunit ribosomal RNA
Source: RNAcentral